This 425-nucleotide ribosomal RNA is filed under the name uncultured archaeon. RNAcentral describes it as "partial 16S ribosomal RNA". The record is from RNAcentral.
UUAAGCUGCCAGAUUUCUCAAGAGACUUAUCCGGCCGGCUACAGACCCUUUAGACCCAAUAAUAACGGUUACCACUCGAGCCGCCGGUGUUACCGCGGCGGCUGGCACCGGUCUUGCCCGGCCCUUGCUAUGAAAUGCUUUUUAGGCAUCUCGACAGCCAGAUUUGUAACCUGGCACUCGAGGUUCCCUUAUCGCUGUUGCCAGCAUUGUAAAGUUUUCGCGCCUGCUGCACCCCGUAGGGCCUGGAUUCGUGUCUCAGAAUCCAUCUCCGGGCUCUUGCUCUCACAACCCGUACCCGUCGUAGGCUAGUAGGUACGCUACACCCACUACUACCUGAUAGGCCGCAGACCCAUCCUUAGGCGCCGGAGCUUUAAAUCUCGAUGCAUUCCAGCAAUCGAGACCUAUCGGGUAUUAUACCCAGUUUC